Molecule: transfer RNA, 82 nt
Filed under: bacterium
Lineage: Bacteria
Also listed under: 1 other name
Description: tRNA-Leu
Rfam family: tRNA
About the family: Transfer RNA (tRNA) molecules are approximately 80 nucleotides in length. Their secondary structure includes four short double-helical elements and three loops (D, anti-codon, and T loops).
Source: RNAcentral
GCCCAGGUGGCGAAAUUGGUAGACGCAUACCCUUGAGGUGGGUACGCCGUAAGGUGUGGAGGUUCGAGUCCUCUCUUGGGCA